GGUGCGGGCUGGCACACAACAGCUAUGGGAAGCCAGUUCCAGGAGUCUGCCCUCAUGGUGCCCUAUGUUGUCCUCACCUGGAGCUCCCGUGGAUGAUGCUUCUGAGGGCAGCAACCAAGAGGUAACAUGGAAAAGUUGGUUUUGGUGGUCACUCAACCUUGAACAUCUCCUGGAUCUGCUACAGGUUCUAUCAAAGGCUACGUGUUCAGACACCUGGUGAUGCACAGACCCAUGCAUCAGGUCCAUGUGACUUUUGCAGGAGCCAUGUGAAAGCUUUUAUUUCUUCCAUGAUGGAUAUUUGUCAUCAGCUCAUGUGAAUGUUUUGGCGAACCAAAGGCUGGAUUGUUCUGUUUUGCUUGCUCGGAUUGUGAAAUGGGAAUAUCCGUAACAUGACAGGGCAUGAAAGAGCCUGAAAUGAAUUAAGGCUGUACUUUAAUGAAUGGGCUUUUCAUCUAGUGGAUUCUUUGUAAACAACUGUGGUAAAUCCACUUUCAGCAAAUCCAAAGGAUGGUUGACACAUGCAUUUCAUACGGGUGGCUCCUAGCAGACUAGAAAUGAUGAUGCAUCGUUACAGAUGGACCAUUUUUUCGGCAGAUGAGUGUUCUUGCUAUCCCAUUUCAGCUGGAAGAACUGCUCUGGUGUAGAGCCAAUACAGUAUGUACUGUGUUUCAUCUGAUUAUCUCAACUCAAAACCUGGACAGAUGAGAACAUUCUGAAGCUGGAUACUCCAGGGAUCAUCCAACCGACGCGGAUCUCUCAGCCUUCACUGGAAAGGGGGCAGGUUUCUACCUGCUGAAUUAUUUGACUGGAUUGUGCAAACACACCCCUAAUGAUUCCCACGGAUCACGCAACUGGAAUGAGAUGGGCUGCUGGAAGCAGCAGUUACUGAGAUCUGGCACUGGUCCUCUCUGAUUGUGUGGGACACGGAGUUCAGCAAGGGGCUGGAGGCCAAAGUCCUGGCACCUGCAGCCUGUCACCACACUCUUAAGCAGGUACUGAGAGGCGGUGGCAUGUGAAGCAUGCAAUACAAAGUGAUGCAGAGGAAUGUAAUGAAAGAUGCAGGAAGCUUAUGACACUUUUGCCUGGUUGGGACCCAUACAUGGAACACAGUCCAGAUCUGGCUCCAAAGAGCUUUCAGCAUCAAUCAACAAGACAAUGUGAAGAAGAGGAGGAGGAGAGAGGCAGUGUUACUUGCCCAAAUAUUAACUCAACAGUCUCUACAGGAGAAAGCCAGGUGUCAUUCUGUGUGCAGAAAUGGACUAAAAUGCUCUAAAAGCUCUUCAAAAAGGAGGUUGCCGUUUUGCUUUGUAGGCUUCACCCCUGGUUUCCCUCAAGACUAGGUGUGAAGGAAAAGUACAAGUGCUGCGCUCCUAUUCCUAUGGAUUUCAUAACGUGCAAAGCUUCAAUGGGCACCAGAGGUCCUGGAUUUAGCCAUCUUCACCUGCCUGGCUUGGAGGGGAAGAAUUCUUUCCCCGUGCUGUGGGGAUUUAGACACAUUGCUUUUCUGGCUCCACUUCAGCAACAAGCUCAGUGCUCAACAGCUGAUUUCCCUCUUCCUCCCGGGCCGCGUCUUGUGCGCGUUCACAUCACAUGGUGCUGCUGAUCUGUUUUCCUUUCUGCGUCCUGCUGAAGUAAAUGCCUAAAGAAUUAUUGUAUUAAUGACCUUGGACACUGCUAGAUAAGGAAACUAAAAACCCUGUGUCCAACUAAGAGGUGCCAGGUGUCUUUCCUCCACGUUCAGUGGCUGGGUUUGGGCAUAUUAAUCAGAAGUGAGAGUGUCAUUCCCCAACAUUAUUCUACCAGAGGAAACAUGGAUGAGAAACAGUCUGUGUGCAACUCCCAGGUGCAGAUGGAGGAGUCAGUUGUUACGUGCUACUCUGCUCGGUGGAUACGCGCCUGGCUACAUGUGUUCCCAUUGCCUCUUUUCACUUGAUACUGCUGAUAAGUGUCUGAGAAGAGGCAUGAUGGCCCGUGAAGAGCCAUAAAGGUAAAAAGAACCUGUCUGUAUUUCAUAUGUCAGAGAAAAGGAAGAAGUGUGAAUCAUCUCUCAGAUGACCACAAGCCAUAGGAGAACAAGCUGUAUGAACAGAAAUGAGUGGAACAAGAUGUACCUGUCCAUGGCAGAGGGGCAUACAUGCUGCGAGCAAGGGCAGACAUCCACACCAGCACACAGAGCAGAAUCACAGGAUCUUCAUGUUUGGAAAGGACUUCUGAGAUCACCGAGUCCAACCAUGCACACACAAAAGACCCCCACAGUACAACCUUGGCCACUAGAGCAUGCCUGAGCAGUGUCUGUCUUGGUACCUACAAGAACAUGAACAGUGCAGCCCAGUUCUUUUCCCCCCUCACUGAAUGAUCAGGAUGGGAGUUUGACAGUGGAGUAUAUAUACCUCCCUGGAAUAAAUAUGCUCUCUCCCGUAGCUGAUUUUGAGGCCUCAGUUUACCCUAUAUUUGGCCCCCAGACCCUGAUCUCCUCCAGGUGAUGACACCUGGACUCAUGGGUCCUUCAGACCUAUGGUCACUCCCUGCAGUCGCAAGUCCUCUGACCCCUUAUCACGCUUGCAAGCUAAACUAACAUGAACUUUCCUAGCACUCACAUGCGUGUUCAUACAUGAUACAUCAUUCAUGCAUGAUCUAGAGUUCAUACACAGGGAAUAUAGGAUAAACUGCAACGG
This is a long non-coding RNA of Calidris pugnax (ruff), 2675 nucleotides long. RefSeq lists it as uncharacterized. The transcript has 12 exons. The record is from RefSeq and is a predicted model, not a curated record. NCBI's taxonomy places the organism in Eukaryota, Metazoa, Chordata, Aves, Charadriiformes, Scolopacidae.